Long non-coding RNA from Hibiscus syriacus, 125 nucleotides. RefSeq lists it as uncharacterized. The transcript has 3 exons. NCBI's taxonomy places the organism in Eukaryota, Viridiplantae, Streptophyta, Magnoliopsida, Malvales, Malvaceae. The record is from RefSeq and is a predicted model, not a curated record.
UUAAACCACGUGCCAGUAUUCACCCGUUCAAAAACUAUGGUAGAGCGUGGCGAGGCCAACAAUCACUAGAUCUACUAUUUGAACCUAUUAUCGAGAUACUGUUGGUUAGAUACCCCAUAUCAAGC